AUGGACCGCGGGCGCCUUGUCGCCGUUGUGCUAGCAGGCAUCCUGCACUCGGCCCUCGUCGCCGCCGAGGACCGGCACGUUUUCCUGAACUGGGAGGUGUCCUACUCCGUGCGAUCCCCGCUGGGCGUCUCCAAGAGGGUGAUCGCCAUCAACGGCCGGCUCCCCGGGCCGCUGCUCAACUUCACCACCAACGACGUCGCCCACGUCAACGUCGUCAACACCUUGGACGAGCCUUUCCUCCUCACAUGGAACGGUCUCCAGUUGAGGAGAAACUCGUGGAACGACGGCGUGGCGGGCACGAACUGCGCGAUCCAGCCCGGGGAGAACUGGACCUACGUGUUCCAGGCCAAGGACGAGAUUGGCAGCUUCUUCUACCGGCCCUCGCUGGGGCUGCACGCCGCUGCCGGCGGCCACGGCCCCAUCCGCGUCAACAACCGCCCCGUCAUCGACGUCCCGUUCCCCCAGCCCGACGGCGAGUUCGACGUCCUCAUAGGGGACUGGUACAACAUGGACGCAAAGGAGAUGAAAGAGCGCCUGGACAGAGGCCGCGGACUGCCUCCGCCGGACGGCAUCUUGAUCAACGGCUUGGGCCCGUACGAGGCGGAGGUGACGUUCAAGGCAGGGCGCACGUACCGGCUUCGCGUGUCGAACGUGGGCACGAGGACGUCGCUCAACUUCCGGCUCCAGGGCCACAAGCUGCUGCUGGUGGAGGCGGAGGGCACCUACACCCUGCAGAAGCACUACGCGUCGCUGGACGUCCACCCCGGCCAAUCCGUCUCGGUCCUCGUGGCGGCCGACCAGGCGCCCAAGGCGUAUUACAUGGUCGUCAGCUCCCUCUUCGUCCUCCCGGAGAUCUUCGGCGUCGCCACCGUCCUAUACGCCGGCUCCGGCGAGCAGCCGCCUUCCGGCGACGCGCCGCUGGACGACCGGUCCUCGCACACCAACUACAACCGUUCCAUGGAGCAGGCCAUGUCCAUAAGGAUGAACCUGACCUCCGGCGCGGCGCGGCCCAACCCGCAGGGCUCCUUCCACUACGGGGAGAUCAACGUCACCCGCACCCUGCUCCUCCGGAACGACGAGUCCGACAUCGGCGGCCGGCGGAGGUGCACGGUGAACGGCGUGGCCUUCGCCAACGCGGGCACACCACUGAAGCUGGCCGACUACUUCAGGAUCGCCGGCGUCUUCAAGGUCGUCUCCGGCAGGCCGGAGAGGAGGAACGCGUCCCUCGGCACCACGGUCAUCGACGCCUCCUACAGGGAUUACGUCCAGAUCGUGUUCGAGAACAGGCUGCCGUCCAUGCAGACAUGGCACCUCGACGGCCACAGUUUCUUCGUCGUCGGAUUCGAAAUGACGAUGUAA
RNAcentral lists this ribosomal RNA (1359 nucleotides) under Triticum aestivum (bread wheat). RNAcentral's name for it is "partial small subunit ribosomal RNA". Lineage: Eukaryota; Viridiplantae; Streptophyta; Magnoliopsida; Poales; Poaceae. The record is from RNAcentral.